GGGAUGCAUGAAUCGUUCAAGUUUAGGAGUUUAAACCAAGUGGUUUUAGUAACACGAGGUGGUCAUAGCUGUGUGUAAGUUGCACUUGGGUUGUAGAACAGUCAUUCCUCCACUCUGUAGUGAGCGUCAUAGCCAGCUCUGUGAGAGCCGUAAAUCCUUGCUCAGAGCGAGCAUAAAUGGUUGUACUUAUGCCACCGUAUCUCCUCUCUGGCUCCGUGCCCUUUCAAGCCCCACCAGUUCUGAACCGACAGGGAGAGUUUGUAAAUACCUUGUAAAAAAACAAAAGAUCAGGGGCUAAGUCUACACAUCAGGGGCUAUUUAUAAUACUCUAUUGGUCAUAAUAUAUUAUUAAUAGUUUACUUACUCUUCACAUCAUGAACUGAAGUUUGUUUGUACAACAGAUUAGGUCACUGAAACUUUGACUGGAAUGUAGUCCCAAACAUACAGUACAAGUGAUAAAAGGAGGGUGCUGCAGCGCACCAUGCCCCACUAACAGCAGCUAUAGGAUCAGGAAGGAUGAUUCAGUUCACUCAGCUGUGUCUGCUGGUCAUUCUGGCCUUGUGCACUUUAACUUCCUGGGCUGAUGGAUCUCUAUUGUAGAUAAAUGCCAGUAAGUGGAUGGAAAAAGGUCACACACAAUGCAAAUCAAACAGUGAUGAAAUGUUUUGUUUAAACAGUAUUGGAUUUUGUUCAAGACAAUCAACAAUUAUCGUAUCUUGUGUGUAAAGUCCAAGCUACAUCUGAAGCCCAAUCAUCUUCUUGCUGAUUUUUAAGUGGCCUCUUAAAUAUGUAAAUUUAAAUUAUUCAUUAUGUGAAAUUUUUUUUAUCACCAUGUAUUAUAUAAACGUUUUCAAUAUUGGGGCAUUAAAUACAACUUUUAUUUUAUAUUUGAGGUUUUUAAAUGUUUGUAAUUACAAUUAUAUAUUAUGGAGAAACAUAGGGAAUAUUAAUUCCAUCUUAUUCUAGAUCCCAGCUGGUGACUUCAAUAAAGAUCCCAAAGUGAAGCAGUAUGUUUAUGUGGCAUGGUGUGAGAGGUUCAUUGAAUGGCAUAGCAAGGUUUUGGUCAAAACCGGGCACUAACCAUUGAAGUAUGUACGUUUGAAGUAUUUGUUAUGUCAGUUAUUAACAGACCAUUUUUAGUUUGUUUCUUAUGUGUAUCUACUUUUAACUUAUCCAUCAAUAUUAAAAUAUUCAACUUUCAAUUUCCUGUAUUUGUAGGCAAAGACCGAGGAUACUACUGUGACAAGUGGCCCGUCAUGCCGCUAGAGGGACUCUGGUUUUGUUUUCCUCAGUGUCCUUCCUGUUAAUUAGUUUGAUAUUGUAGACCUGUUCAGUUUUGUAUUUAAGUCCUGUUUGUGUUUCCUUUCGUUGCUGGUGUGUUGCGUUUUUUAAGCGACAGUUACGUUGACUACUAUACGGAGGAGAUUUUGAAGAUAUGGAGUUGAGUUGUCGUUAAUGUCCUGUCCUGUGUUUGGUAGUCUGUAGAACAGAGCUGUCUUUAUUUUGUAGUAGUUUUCCUGCUAAGCAGUGAUUUAUGUUCAGUUAUGAUCUGGGCUUUUGUCCUGCUUACGCAGUGAGUUUACGUUUGUUUUGUAUUUAAUAAACCUAUUUCCAUAAAUAACCUUUACAUCCUGUUUAGGUCGUUGCAUUUGGGUUCUACCCCUCACCUGUCUCUGUCUCAUCAAGCCCUGCCAGUUAGGAACCAGUACCGGGGCAGUUUGUAACAGCUACAGCUUUACAAGAAUCACAAACCACAUGUUCUGCCUCUGUCCAUAGCCUGACAAGCAGUAUUUACAAAGCAGUGGCAUAUGUGGAAAACUGGCUGCCGAAACCUCAAGAAAGUUUUGAGUUCCCGAUAAAGUUUUGCUUCAAGUGGACUGGACAGAGGAGCUACACAGUAGCUUUAGGAUGCCCGGAAGACACUGGACAAACAGCCGAGACAGAGCGGUUGAAUGAGCUCUGAGUAAUAUCGGACGGUCGUAUAUCCUCACAGAGACUCCCUGAAGGGACAACCGUCUUGUUUUUUCAGCCACCAACAGCAGAUGAAGAAAAGAUGAGGGUUUUGGCUAAAUGAAGCAUCUGUGGCUUUCUGACAACUGUGCUUCAAUUCCAAAUAAAAAGUUAUUGAACGA
Molecule: long non-coding RNA, 2132 nt
Organism: Betta splendens (Siamese fighting fish)
Lineage: Eukaryota; Metazoa; Chordata; Actinopteri; Anabantiformes; Osphronemidae
Exons: 4
Source: RefSeq, a predicted model, not a curated record